Molecule: transfer RNA, 72 nt
Filed under: Camelus bactrianus (Bactrian camel)
Lineage: Eukaryota; Metazoa; Chordata; Mammalia; Artiodactyla; Camelidae
Also listed under: 2 other names
Rfam family: tRNA
About the family: Transfer RNA (tRNA) molecules are approximately 80 nucleotides in length. Their secondary structure includes four short double-helical elements and three loops (D, anti-codon, and T loops).
Source: Rfam by way of RNAcentral
GUGGGUAUAGCUCAGCGGUAGAGCACAUGCUUAGCAUGCAUGAGGUCCUGGGUUCAAUCCCCAGUACCUCCA